RNAcentral lists this ribosomal RNA (488 nucleotides) under uncultured bacterium. RNAcentral's name for it is "bacterial SSU rRNA". It matches the Rfam family "Bacterial small subunit ribosomal RNA", at positions 28 to 517 of the family's 1533-position model. The record is from RNAcentral.
GACGAACGCUGGCGGCGUGCUUAACACAUGCAAGUCGAACGGAACUCUUUGGAUCAAGACUUCGGUCAAGUGAGAUUGAGUUUAGUGGCGGACGGGUGAGUAACGCGUGAGGAACCUGCCUUUCAGAGGGGGAUAACAGUUGGAAACGACUGCUAAUACCGCAUAACGUAUUUGAAUCGCAUGAUUCGGAUACCAAAGCUGAGGCGCUGAAAGAUGGACUCGCGUCUGAUUAGAUAGUUGGUGGGGUAACGGCCUACCAAGUCGACGAUCAGUAGCCGGACUGAGAGGUUGAUCGGCCACAUUGGGACUGAGACACGGCCCAGACUCCUACGGGAGGCAGCAGUGGGGAAUAUUGCACAAUGGGCGAAAGCCUGAUGCAGCAACGCCGCGUGAGGGAAGACGGUUUUCGGAUUGUAAACCUCUGUCUUUGGUGAAGAUAAUGACGGUAGCCAAGGAGGAAGCCACGGCUAACUACGUGCCAGCAGCCG